RNAcentral lists this unclassified non-coding RNA (314 nucleotides) under plant metagenome. Its description in RNAcentral is "partial contains 5.8S ribosomal RNA, internal transcribed spacer 2, and large subunit ribosomal RNA". The stretch from base 1 to 105 matches the Rfam family "5.8S ribosomal RNA", at positions 50 to 154 of the family's 154-position model. The record is from RNAcentral.
GAAAUGCGAUAAAUAAUGUGAAUUGCAGAAUUCAGUGAAUCAUCGAGUCUUUGAACGCACAUUGCGCCCCCUGGUAUUCCGGGGGGCAUGCCUGUCCGAGCGUCAUUGCUGCCCUCAAGCACGGCUUGUGUGUUGGGCUUCCGUCCCUGGCAACGGGGACGGGCCCAAAAGGCAGUGGCGGCACCAUGUCUGGUCCUCGAGCGUAUGGGGCUUUGUCACCCGCUCCCGUAGGUCCAGCUGGCAGCUAGCCUCGCAACCAAUCUUUUUAACCAGGUUGACCUCGGAUCAGGUAGGGAUACCCGCUGAACUUAAGC